Molecule: ribosomal RNA, 700 nt
Filed under: uncultured bacterium
Lineage: Bacteria
Description: bacterial SSU rRNA
Rfam family: Bacterial small subunit ribosomal RNA
Source: RNAcentral
AGUGGCGGACGGGUGAGUAACACGUAAGAAUUUGCCUUUAGGAGGGGGACAACAACUAGAAAUGGUUGCUAAUACCCCAUAUGCUUUCGAGUGAAAUGGAUUUUUCCGCCUAGAGAGAAGCUUGCGGCUGAUUAGCUUGUUGGUGAGGUAAUGGCUCACCAAGGCGACGAUCAGUAUCUGGUUUGAGAGGAUGAUCAGACACACUGGAACUGAGACACGGUCCAGACUCCUACGGGAGGCAGCAGUGGGGAAUUUUCCGCAAUGGGCGAAAGCCUGACGGAGCAAUCUCGCGUGAGGGAUGACGGCCUAUGGGUUGUAAACCUCUUUUUUCAGGGAGGAACAAAAUGACGUGUACCUGAAGAAUAAGCAUCGGCUAACUCCGUGCCAGCAGCCGCGGUAAGACGGAGGAUGCAAGUGUUAUCCGGAAUCACUGGGCGUAAAGCGUCUGUAGGUGGUUUAAUAAGUCAACUGUUAAAUCUUGAAGCUCAACUUCAAAAUCGCAGUCGAAACUAUUAGACUAGAGUAUAGUAGGGGUAAAGGGAAUUUCCAGUGGAGCGGUGAAAUGCGUAGAUAUUGGAAAGAACACCGAUGGCGAAGGCACUUUACUGGGCUAUUACUGACACUCAGAGACGAAAGCUAGGGUAGCAAAUGGGAUUAGAUACCCCAGUAGUCCUAGCCGUAAACAAUGGAUACUAGAUGU